UACGUAGGGCGCAAGCGUUGCCCGGAAUUAUUGGGCGUAAAGAGCUCGUAGGCGGUCUGUUGCGUCCGCUGUGAAAACUCGGGGCUUAACCCCGAGCCUGCAGUGGAUACGGGCAGACUAGAGGUAGGUAGGGGAGAGUGGAAUUCCCGGUGUAGCGGUGAAAUGCGCAGAUAUCGGGAGGAACACCGGUGGCGAAGGCGGUUCUCUGGGCCUUUACUGACGCUGAGGAGCGAAAGCGUGGGGAGCGAACAGG
RNAcentral lists this ribosomal RNA (253 nucleotides) under uncultured bacterium. Its description in RNAcentral is "partial 16S ribosomal RNA". It matches the Rfam family "Bacterial small subunit ribosomal RNA", at positions 524 to 776 of the family's 1533-position model. The record is from RNAcentral.